This 60-nucleotide transfer RNA is filed under the name Hypselodoris festiva. RNAcentral describes it as "tRNA-Ser". The record is from RNAcentral. Lineage: Eukaryota; Metazoa; Mollusca; Gastropoda; Nudibranchia; Chromodorididae.
UGAAGAUUUGAAAUUUAGGCUGCUAACUUGAAUUCGGGAAAUUGUAUUUUCCAUCUUCAU